This 484-nucleotide ribosomal RNA is filed under the name uncultured bacterium. RNAcentral describes it as "partial 16S ribosomal RNA". It matches the Rfam family "Bacterial small subunit ribosomal RNA", at positions 30 to 507 of the family's 1533-position model. The record is from RNAcentral.
AUUGAACGCUGGCGGCAGGCCUAACACAUGCAAGUCGAGCGGAUGAAGGGAGCUUGCUCCUGGAUUCAGCGGCGGACGGGUGAGUAAUGCCUAGGAAUCUGCCUGGUAGUGGGGGAUAACGUCCGGAAACGGGCGCUAAUACCGCAUACGUCCUGAGGGAGAAAGUGGGGGAUCUUCGGACCUCACGCUAUCAGAUGAGCCUAGGUCGGAUUAGCUAGUUGGUGGGGUAAUGGCCUACCAAGGCGACGAUCCGUAACUGGUCUGAGAGGAUGAUCAGUCACACUGGAACUGAGACACGGUCCAGACUCCUACGGGAGGCAGCAGUGGGGAAUAUUGGACAAUGGGCGAAAGCCUGAUCCAGCCAUGCCGCGUGUGUGAAGAAGGUCUUCGGAGUGGAAAGCACUUUAAGUUGGGAGGAAGGGCAGUAAGUUAAUACCUUGCUGUUUUGACGGUACCAACAGAAUAAGCACCGGCUAACUUCGUG